GCUGGGUGUGGUGGCGUGUGCCUGUAAUCCCAGCUACUCGGGAGGCUGAGGCAGGAGAAUUGCUUGAGCCCGGGAGGCAGAGGUUGCAGUGAGCUGAGAUCAUGCCACUGCACACCAGCCUGGGUGACAGAGCAAGACUCUGUCUCAA
Macaca fascicularis (crab-eating macaque) is the source of this 148-nucleotide unclassified non-coding RNA. It matches the Rfam family "Metazoan signal recognition particle RNA". From Rfam's summary of the family: The signal recognition particle (SRP) is a universally conserved ribonucleoprotein. It is involved in the co-translational targeting of proteins to membranes. Lineage: Eukaryota; Metazoa; Chordata; Mammalia; Primates; Cercopithecidae. The record is from Ensembl.